GACGAACGCUGGCGGCGUGCUUAACACAUGCAAGUCGAACGAAAAGAGGGAAAGAGCUUGCUCUUUUCAGAAUUGAGUGGCAAACGGGUGAGUAACACGUAAACAACCUGCCUUCAGGAUGGGGACAACAGACGGAAACGACUGCUAAUACCGAAUAAGUUCCAAGAGCCGCAUGGCCCAUGGAAGAAAAGGUGGCCUCUACCUGUAAGCUAUCGCCUGAAGAGGGGUUUGCGUCUGAUUAGCUGGUUGGAGGGGUAACGGCCCACCAAGGCGACGAUCAGUAGCCGGUCUGAGAGGAUGAACGGCCACACUGGAACUGAGACACGGUCCAGACUCCUACGGGAGGCAGCAGUGGGGAAUCUUCCGCAAUGGGCGAAAGCCUGACGGAGCAACGCCGCGUGAGUGAUGACGGCCUUCGGGUUGUAAAACUCUGUGAUCCGGGACGAAAAGGCAGAGUGCGAAGAACAAACUGCAUUGACGGUACCGGAAAAGCAAGCCACGGCUAACUACGUGCCAGCAGCCGCGGUAAUACGUAGGUGGCAAGCGUUGUCCGGAAUUAUUGGGCGUAAAGCGCGCGCAGGCGGCUUCCCAAGUCCCUCUUAAAAGUGCGGGGCUUAACCCCGUGAUGGGAAGGAAACUGGGAAGCUGGAGUAUCGGAGAGGAAAGUGGAAUUCCUAGUGUAGCGGUGAAAUGCGUAGAGAUUAGGAAGAACACCGGUGGCGAAGGCGACUUUCUGGACGAAAACUGACGCUGAGGCGCGAAAGCGUGGGGAGCAAACAGG
This 781-nucleotide ribosomal RNA is filed under the name uncultured Dialister sp. RNAcentral's name for it is "bacterial SSU rRNA". It matches the Rfam family "Bacterial small subunit ribosomal RNA", at positions 28 to 776 of the family's 1533-position model. The record is from RNAcentral. Lineage: Bacteria; Bacillati; Bacillota; Negativicutes; Veillonellales; Veillonellaceae.